Molecule: long non-coding RNA, 838 nt
Filed under: Athene cunicularia (burrowing owl)
Lineage: Eukaryota; Metazoa; Chordata; Aves; Strigiformes; Strigidae
Description: lncRNA (ENSACUG00000012420.1)
Source: RNAcentral
AGCCGGUGCUCUGCUGCUGGAGAGUGUCAUCAGCGGCUCCGUGCCAAAGAGCAUUGGCGAGACUGCGCUGCUGCUGCAGGUGCCAGAGCUGCCCAUCCUGCCUGCUGGGCCAUGACUCCCAUGCUGGGAGCCCAAAAGGGGGGUUCUAUGGCCUGACCACCCCCUCCCUGCCUCUCCCCAGGACUUCAGAGAGCGUUACGUGCAGACAGGCGCAGGGCGACUCUCAGGGGGCUCGGUGCAGAGCUUCCUGCAGGAUGGACGCAUCAUCCGUGUCCGCUGCAAUCACACCAUCAUCUACAACCCCUCCGUAGAUCCGCAGCCCCCCUUGGUGCAGCACGUCCGGGCCAGCGCCGUCAAAGCCUCCUAUGACCCGGCCUCCGAGGAGCUGUGCUUCCAGCUCCGUGCCUCGCUUGAUGCGGGGGCUGAUGGAGACCAGUGCCCACCAGGAUUCCUCCUGGGCCCUGGACAGCCAUACUGCAUCGGUAUGGACCUUCCUGAGGGGGACACAAGGAUGGCGAGGAGCACCUGCUGCGUGGUGCCACCUCCCUGUCCCCCCAACUCUGUCCCCCCAACUCUGUACCCUCUCUGCUCCCCAGAUAUCGAUGAAUGUGCUGAGGGAUCCCACGCCUGCCGCUACAACCAGCUCUGCCAGAAUGUGGCAGGGACCUAUCGCUGUGACUGCCCUCCUGGCUACCACUCGCUGGGUGCUGGCUGGCCAUGCCUGGACAUAAACGAGUGCCUGCGCUUUCCUCCGCCGUGCGCCUUUAAGUGCCGCAACCUGCGGGGCUCCUACGAGUGCCUGUGCCCCCCUGGCAGGACCCUGCUACCGGGUGGAGAU